AAGUUCUCACUGAAAGAUCUGUGCUUCUGGCAAAGGAGAGCCAUUGGAAGUCUUAAAGUCGGGGCUUGGCAUGUUCACACUGUUCUUUAAAAAGCUACUCAUGAUAGGGAGGGUGGUUUCUGAAAGCUGGGAGGCUUUAGAAAGCUGAUGCUAUUUUGGGUAGCAGUGGCUCUGCCCUGAUGCAGAGAGGAAAGGAGAGACAAGGGAAGAGACACCAAGGAAACAGGCAAUCCCAUGAUGAAAAUCUCCAAAGGAGGAGAUGACUUUUAAGUACCUGGAAGAGGAAUUUGCCAUCAUCUGAGAUCCAGCCAUGGGCUCUGUGCAUUUAGCCACAUUGCAAGGUGACUUCCACUGUGAGGACUGCCACAGGAGUGCCCCAGGCCAUCCCUAGACCCCAGCCAUGAGGCCAAGCU
Molecule: long non-coding RNA, 413 nt
Filed under: Fukomys damarensis (Damara mole-rat)
Lineage: Eukaryota; Metazoa; Chordata; Mammalia; Rodentia; Bathyergidae
Description: lncRNA (ENSFDAG00000025585.1)
Source: RNAcentral